RNAcentral lists this long non-coding RNA (239 nucleotides) under Capsicum annuum. RNAcentral describes it as "long non-coding RNA (CANN_LNC020149)". Lineage: Eukaryota; Viridiplantae; Streptophyta; Magnoliopsida; Solanales; Solanaceae. The record is from RNAcentral.
GUUUUGAGUCGACUAGUGGACUGAUUUUUGCUAACAUUAAUGUGUUAUUGUUUUUAUUAUAUUUUAGUGUUCUUAAUAGGUACUAUGGAAUUGGGAAAGGUGACCAUGAACGAUUUGAUGGCUGCCAUAAUGGGUAUGAAACAUGACCUUAGUAGUCGAAUGGAGAGAAUGGAAAGAAUAAUGGACCGAGUGGAAGGAAAAAAUGGAAGGGACGUAAAGCUCUCUUUUCAAGGAGCUGG